This 252-nucleotide ribosomal RNA is filed under the name Mantidactylus katae. Its description in RNAcentral is "partial 16S ribosomal RNA". Lineage: Eukaryota; Metazoa; Chordata; Amphibia; Anura; Mantellidae. The record is from RNAcentral.
CCCGUGAAGAAGCGGGAAUAUCCCCAUAAGACGAGAAGACCCCAUGGAGCUUCAAACCCAAUUACACCCCUAACACCUAUGCCACUUAAGCCUUAGGAUUCUGUAUUAUCGGUUUUAGGUUGGGGCGACCACGGAGUACAACAAAACCUCCACAAUGAACGGAACUACUUCCUCAUCUGUGAGCUACACCUCUCUAAUUAACAUAUUAACAUAAAAUGAUCCCUUUUUGAUCAAUGAACCUUGUUACCCUGG